This 253-nucleotide ribosomal RNA is filed under the name uncultured bacterium. RNAcentral describes it as "partial 16S ribosomal RNA". It matches the Rfam family "Bacterial small subunit ribosomal RNA", at positions 524 to 776 of the family's 1533-position model. The record is from RNAcentral.
UACGUAGGGGGCAAGCGUUAUCCGGAUUUACUGGGUGUAAAGGGAGCGUAGACGGCCGCGCAAGUCUGAAGUGAAAUCCCAUGGCUUAACCAUGGAACUGCUUUGGAAACUGUGCAGCUAGAGUGCAGGAGAGGUAAGCGGAAUUCCUAGUGUAGCGGUGAAAUGCGUAGAUAUUAGGAGGAACACCAGUGGCGAAGGCGGCUUACUGGACUGUAACUGACGUUGAGGCUCGAAAGCGUGGGGAGCAAACAGG